RNAcentral lists this ribosomal RNA (809 nucleotides) under uncultured fungus. RNAcentral describes it as "SSU rRNA". It matches the Rfam family "Eukaryotic small subunit ribosomal RNA", at positions 24 to 845 of the family's 1831-position model. Lineage: Eukaryota; Fungi. The record is from RNAcentral.
UCAUAUGCUUGUCUCAAAGAUUAAGCCAUGCAUGUCUAAGUAUAAGCAAUUAUACCGUGAAACUGCGAAUGGCUCAUUAAAUCAGUUAUCGUUUAUUUGAUAGUACCUUACUACUUGGAUAACCGUGGUAAUUCUAGAGCUAAUACAUGCUAAAAACCCCAACUUCGGGAGGGGUGUAUUUAUUAGAUAAAAAACCAAUGCCCUUCGGGGCUCCUUGGUGAUUCAUGAUAACUUCUCAGAUCGCAUGGCUUUACGCCGGCGACGGUUCAUUCAAAUUUCUGCCCUAUCAACUUUCGAUGGUAAGGUAGUGGCUUACCAUGGUUUCAACGGGUAACGGGGAAUUAGGGUUCGAUUCCGGAGAGGGAGCCUGAGAAACGGCUACCACAUCCAAGGAAGGCAGCAGGCGCGCAAAUUACCCAAUUCCGAUACGGAGAGGUAGUGACAAUAAAUACUGAUACAGGGCUCUUUUGGGUCUUGUAAUUGGAAUGAGUACAAUUUAAACCUCUUAACGAGGAACAAUUGGAGGGCAAGUCUGGUGCCAGCAGCCGCGGUAAUUCCAGCUCCAAUAGCGUAUAUUAAAGUUGUUGCAGUUAAAAAGCUCGUAGUUGAACCUUUGGCCUGGCUGGCAGGUCCGCCUCACCGCGUGCACUUGUCCGGCCGGGCCUUUUCUUCUGGAGAACCGCAUGCCCUUCACUGGGUGUGUUGGGGACCAGGACUUUUACUUUGAAAAAAUUAGAGUGUUCAAAGCAGGCCUUUGCUCGAAUACGUUAGCAUGGAAUAAUAGAAUAGGACGUGCGGUCCUAUUUUGU